CUGCUCGACGCCGUGCGCAAGAAGGCGUCCGACAUCCACAUCGAGCCCUACGAGAAGUCGCAGCGCGUCCGCUACCGGAUCGACGGCGUGCUCUACGAGGUGAUGAAGCCGCCGAUGCGGCUGAAGCACGCGAUCGUGAGCCGCAUGAAGAUCAUGGCGAACCUCGACAUCGCCGAGCGCCGGCUCCCGCAGGACGGGCGCAUCAAGAUCAAGAUGGGCCGCGGCAAGGAGAUGGACUUCCGUGUCUCCGUGCUCCCCGUCAUGUGGGGCGAGAAGGUCGUCCUCCGGCUCCUCGACAAGUCGAACCUCCAGCUCGACAUGACGAAGCUCGGAUUCGAUCAGGACAUCCUCAACGGCUUCAAGGAGUGCAUCCACAAGCCGUACGGAAUGAUCCUGAUCACGGGACCCACGGGAUCCGGAAAGACGACGACGCUCUACUCGACGCUCAGCGAGCUCAACAAGACGACGACGAACAUCAGCACCGCAGAGGAUCCCGUCGAGUUCAACCUCUUCGGGAUCAACCAGGUCCAGAUGCACGACGAGAUCGGGCUCAACUUCGCUUCGGCGUUGCGCUCGUUCCUCCGGCAGGACCCCGACAUCAUCAUGGUCGGCGAGAUCCGCGACUUCGAGACCGCCGAGAUCGGGAUCAAGGCGGCGCUCACCGGCCACCUCGUGCUGAGCACGCUGCACACCAACGACGCGCCGUCCACGGUGAGCCGGCUCCUCAACAUGGGCAUCGAGCCGUUCCUCGUCGCGAGCUCGGUAAACCUCGUCGGAGCGCAGCGGCUCGUCCGAAAGGUCUGUCAGGAGUGCACGGAACAGAUCACGGUCGAGCCCAAGCUGCUGACGGACCUCGGCGUCGAUCCCGCGACCACCACCGAGUACAAGCUCCAGAAGGGUCGCGGGUGCAAGAACUGUAGCAACACGGGCUACAAGGGCCGCGUCGCCGUCUACGAGAUCAUGAUCUUCAACGACGAGCUCCGCGAGUUCGUCCUGAACGGCGCCUCGACCCUCGAGCUCAAACGCGAGGCCAUCCGCCAGGGAAUGCGGUCGCUCCGCAUGGAUGCGCUCACGAAGCUGAAGAUCGGACUGACGACCAUCGAGGAGGUCGUCCGCGCCACCGCGAGCGAUUGAGUUGUAGUACGAUCCCCGGGCCGUCCCACGCAGGUCGGCCGAGGGCGUCUCCAUGGCGACAGCCGAAAAGGUCCAGCAGGCUCCGGGGGCAAAGCCGGGCGCCAUCAAGAUCCCCCUUC
This 1253-nucleotide unclassified non-coding RNA is filed under the name uncultured fungus. RNAcentral describes it as "sequence contains 18S rRNA gene, ITS1, 5.8S rRNA gene, ITS2, 28S rRNA gene". Lineage: Eukaryota; Fungi. The record is from RNAcentral.